Paramuricea clavata is the source of this 808-nucleotide non-coding RNA. The record is from the annotation of a GenBank genome assembly. NCBI's taxonomy places the organism in Eukaryota, Metazoa, Cnidaria, Anthozoa, Malacalcyonacea, Plexauridae.
AAUCACUCAAACCAAGAAUGUCGUUGAAAACCGUUGCUUUCUUUCUUUUGUUCGUUGUUUUCACAUUUGGAAACGAGGUAAGUUGUCUUCUUGUUAGUUCCUAUUUCUUUCUGAUUUAUUCACUUGCCAACAUAAUUGUUUGUCAUGCAUGCUGUUUCUGUGUAGAGUUAAUAUGCGCACUGAUGAAUUCGUACUCAUAAAAAAUAAAAGGAGCAUUGCAUUUCUUUGCAGUAUAAUUUUUUAUUGAAAAAGUAUAUAAUAAUUAUGGUCUUAAUAAUUUUUAAUCACAAUCAAUAAAAGGGGCGCACAUGAGGGUAGGCUAUAUGACAGGUUCGGGGGUGUAAAACCCUCCCAGCACUCGAAAAUCACAAAAUGUCGGUCCCAAUUUUGAUUGAUGCAUUUCCAAUUUUAAGAAUUAUAAACAUGUUGCAACCCAUGUACUUACCAGAAACAGAUCUUUUGCACCUAAAGGCUGCUUUAUUCAUGACAUAAAUGAUUUUUUUAUUUCAAAAAAGAUUUGAUCCUGCCGGCGUCAACUAUUUGUGUCCUUACAACAAAGCGUGUACAACAGACAGCGAAUGCAACUGCGAAAUCCAAUUUUUGAGGUGCAAAAGGGUAAAGGAAGGAGACCAUAGAUGCAUAGUGGUGAAUUUUUCAGAACUGGUAGGAGAACCUAGCCAUGAAAUGUUUGCUAUGGCUGUGCCGACAAUUCCAGCGAAGAAACCUUUUAAGAAAUUGAAUAAAAGAAUACAAAAUAAUGCGUUGCCUUAAUUAAUAAAGAAUACACUUUAAGAAAUUUAUGUCGGUG